AUGCUAUUGUCCGGUUUUAGCAGUGAGUUUUCCUUGAUAUACUGGAGGAAGCCGAGUUACCUAGUUCAGCCUAUAAUUGCCAAGAAAGGGAAUAAAGGUUAUUCUCCAGGAAAUGCACUCAAAGGGACACUGGCUGGUCAAAUAGACUGUCCGAGGAGUAUGCUGGCACUCCUCCAUGUGGUCUUUCCUAAUUUCCUGAAAUGGCAAGUAUCUCUCGGCUGAAUUAUUUUUCCACUAUAUUUAUUUUGUAUAAACUUUUAUAUAUACAUGUGCUUUCUCCUUAGAAAAUUUAAGCUCCUUCUUUCCUUUUUUUUUAAUUUAAACCCUUUAAUUUAAGCCUUUUUAUUUUAAACUGUGGGCUAUUUUAUUUAUGUCUUCUGUAUUCUGCGAGGAAGAUUUGUCCACAGCUCCCAGCAGUGCCUGGCACAGCAUAGGUGUUUAAUAAAUGCUUGCUGAUUAAUUUGUAAUUUUAUUGC
This 476-nucleotide long non-coding RNA is filed under the name Monodelphis domestica (gray short-tailed opossum). RNAcentral describes it as "lncRNA (ENSMODG00000039046.1)". Lineage: Eukaryota; Metazoa; Chordata; Mammalia; Didelphimorphia; Didelphidae. The record is from RNAcentral.